RNAcentral lists this ribosomal RNA (250 nucleotides) under uncultured prokaryote. RNAcentral's name for it is "partial 16S ribosomal RNA". It matches the Rfam family "Bacterial small subunit ribosomal RNA", at positions 524 to 774 of the family's 1533-position model. The record is from RNAcentral.
UACGUAGGUGGCGAGCGUUAUCCGGAUUUAUUGGGCGUAAAGCGUCCGCAGACGGUUUGUUAAGUUUAGAAUCAAAUCCCGAGGCUUAACCUCGGUUCGUUCUAAAAACUGGCAGACUUGAGUGUAGUAGAGGCAAGUGGAACUUCCAGUGUAGCGGUAGAAUGCGUAGAUAUUGGAAAGAACACCAGUGGCGAAGGCGACUUGCUGGGCUAUUACUGACGUUCAUGGACGAAAGCGUGGGGAGCAAAUA